RNAcentral lists this ribosomal RNA (379 nucleotides) under uncultured bacterium. RNAcentral's name for it is "bacterial SSU rRNA". It matches the Rfam family "Bacterial small subunit ribosomal RNA", at positions 1003 to 1382 of the family's 1533-position model. The record is from RNAcentral.
UAAUCGGAGAUUUCCCUUCGGGGACAGUGGUGACAGGUGGUGCAUGGUUGUCGUCAGCUCGUGUCGUGGGAUGUUGGGUUAAGUCCCGCAACGAGCGCAACCCUUGCCUUUAGUUGCCAGCAUUAAGUUGGGCACUCUAGAGGGACUGCCGAGGAUAACUCGGAGGAAGGUGGGGAUGACGUCAAAUCAUCAUGCCCCUUAUGCUUAGGGCUACACACGUGCUACAAUGGGUGGUACAGAGGGUUGCCAAGCCGCGAGGUGGAGCUAAUCCCUUAAAGCCAUUCUCAGUUCGGAUUGUAGGCUGAAACUCGCCUACAUGAAGCUGGAGUUACUAGUAAUCGCAGAUCAGAAUGCUGCGGUGAAUGCGUUCCCGGGCCUU